GACGAACGCUGGCGGCGUGCUUAACACAUGCAAGUCGAACGGAAAGGCCCUGCUUGCAGGGUACUCGAGUGGCGAACGGGUGAGUAACACGUGGGUGAUCUGCCCUGCACUUCGGGAUAAGCCUGGGAAACUGGGUCUAAUACCGGAUAGGAGCCAUUUUUAGUGUGUUGGUUGGAAAGUUUUUUCGGUGUAGGAUGAGCUCGCGGCCUAUCAGCUUGUUGGUGGGGUAAUGGCCUACCAAGGCGGCGACGGGUAGCCGGCCUGAGAGGGUGGACGGCCACAUUGGGACUGAGAGACGGCCCAGACUCCUCCGGGAGGCAGCAGUGGGGAAUAUUGCGCAAUGGGCGCAAGCCUGAUGCAGCGCCGCCGCGUGGGGGAUGACGGCCUUCGGGUUGUAAACUCCUUUCGCUAGGGACGAAGCUUUUUGUGACGGUACCUAGAUAAGAAGCACCGGCUAACUACGUG
This 465-nucleotide ribosomal RNA is filed under the name uncultured bacterium. Its description in RNAcentral is "partial 16S ribosomal RNA". It matches the Rfam family "Bacterial small subunit ribosomal RNA", at positions 28 to 507 of the family's 1533-position model. The record is from RNAcentral.